Molecule: ribosomal RNA, 843 nt
Filed under: marine metagenome
Description: bacterial SSU rRNA
Rfam family: Bacterial small subunit ribosomal RNA
Source: RNAcentral
AAGGGACCUAGCGUAGUUCGGAAUUACUGGGCUUAAAGAGUUCGUAGGUGGUUGAAAAAGUUGGUGGUGAAAUCCCAGAGCUUAACUCUGGAACUGCCAUCAAAACUUUUCAGCUAGAGUUUGAUAGAGGAAAGCAGAAUUUCUAGUGUAGAGGUGAAAUUCGUAGAUAUUAGAAAGAAUACCAAUUGCGAAGGCAGCUUUCUGGAUCAUUACUGACACUGAGGAACGAAAGCAUGGGUAGCGAAGAGGAUUAGAUACCCUCGUAGUCCAUGCCGUAAACGAUGUGUGUUAGACGUUGGAAAUUUAUUUUCAGUGUCGCAGCGAAAGCGAUAAACACACCGCCUGGGGAGUACGACCGCAAGGUUAAAACUCAAAUGAAUUGACGGGGACCCGCACAAGUAGUGGAGCAUGUGGUUUAAUUCGAAGAUACGCGCAGAACCUUACCAACACUUGACAUGUUCGUCGCGACUUUAAGAGAUUAAAGUUUUCGGUUCGGCCGGACGAAACACAGGUGCUGCAUGGCUGUCGUCAGCUCGUGUCGUGAGAUGUUGGGUUAAGUCCCGCAACGAGCGCAACCCUUACUUUUAGUUGCCAUCAUUUAGUUGGGCACUCUGAAAGAACUGCCAGUGAUAAGCUGGAGGAAGGUGGGGAUGACGUCAAGUCCUCAUGGCCCUUACGUGUUGGGCUACACACGUGCUACAAUGGUAUCUACAACAGGAAGCAAGACGGCGACGUUAAGCAAAUCCUUAAAAGAUACCUCAGUUCGGAUUGCACUCUGCAACUCGAGUGCAUGAAGCUGGAAUUACUAGUAAUCGUGGAUCAGCGUGCCACGGUGAAUGCGUU